AAAAGGCCCUGGGGGUGCCCCCGGCAGGGGAGCCCUAGCACAGGUGCUGCAUGGCCGUCGUCAGCUCGUGCCGUGAGGUGUUGGGUUAAGUCCCCGCAACGAGCGCAACCCCCGCCGUUAGUUGCCAGCGGUUCGGCCGGGCACUCUAACGGGACUGCCCGCGAAAGCGGGAGGAAGGAGGGGACGACGUCUGGUCAGCAUGGCCCUUACGGCCUGGGCGACACACGUGCUACAAUGCCCACUACAAAGCGAUGCCACCGGCAACGGGGAGCUAAUCGCAAAAGGUGGGCCCAGUUCGGAUUGGGGUCUGCAACCCGACCCCAUGAAGCCGGAAUCGCUAGUAAUCGCGGAUCAGCCAUGCCGCGGUGAAUACGUUCCCGGGCCUU
This 386-nucleotide ribosomal RNA is filed under the name uncultured Thermus sp. Its description in RNAcentral is "bacterial SSU rRNA". It matches the Rfam family "Bacterial small subunit ribosomal RNA", at positions 994 to 1382 of the family's 1533-position model. Lineage: Bacteria; Thermotogati; Deinococcota; Deinococci; Thermales; Thermaceae. The record is from RNAcentral.